This 556-nucleotide ribosomal RNA is filed under the name uncultured Ascomycota. RNAcentral's name for it is "SSU rRNA". It matches the Rfam family "Eukaryotic small subunit ribosomal RNA", at positions 194 to 755 of the family's 1831-position model. The record is from RNAcentral. Lineage: Eukaryota; Fungi; Ascomycota.
GGAAGGGGUGUAUUUAUUAGAUUAAAAACCAAUGCCCUCUGGGCUCUUUGGUGAUUCAUGAUAACUUCUCGAAUCGCACGGCCUUGCGCCGGCGAUGGUUCAUUCAAAUUUCUUCCCUAUCAACUUUCGAUGUUUGGGUAUUGGCCAAACGUGGUUGCAACGGGUAACGGAGGGUUAGGGCUCGACCCCGGAGAAGGAGCCUGAGAAACGGCUACUACAUCCAAGGAAGGCAGCAGGCGCGCAAAUUACCCAAUCCCGACACGGGGAGGUAGUGACAAUAAAUACUGAUACAGGGCUCUUUUGGGUCUUGUAAUUGGAAUGAGUACAAUUUAAAUCCCUUAACGAGGAACAAUUGGAGGGCAAGUCUGGUGCCAGCAGCCGCGGUAAUUCCAGCUCCAAUAGCGGUAUAUUAAAGUUGUUGUGGUUAAAAAGCUCGUAGUUGAACCUUGGGCCUGGCUGGCCGGUCCGCCUCACCGCGUGUACUGGUCCGGCCGGGCCUUUCCCUCUGUGGAACCUCAUGCCCUUCACUGGGUGUGACGGGGACCAGGACUUUUAC